This 1554-nucleotide ribosomal RNA is filed under the name Escherichia coli. Its description in RNAcentral is "bacterial SSU rRNA". It matches the Rfam family "Bacterial small subunit ribosomal RNA". Lineage: Bacteria; Pseudomonadati; Pseudomonadota; Gammaproteobacteria; Enterobacterales; Enterobacteriaceae. The record is from RNAcentral.
AAAUUGAAGAGUUUGAUCAUGGCUCAGAUUGAACGCUGGCGGCAGGCCUAACACAUGCAAGUCGAACGGUAACAGGAAGAAGCUUGCUUCUUUGCUGACGAGUGGCGGACGGGUGAGUAAUGUCUGGGAAACUACCUGAUGGAGGGGGAUAACUACUGGAAACGGUAGCUAAUACCGCAUAACGUCGCAAGACCAAAGAGGGGGACCUUCGGGCCUCUUGCCAUCGGAUGUGCCCAGAUGGGAUUAGCUAGUAGGUGGGGUAACGGCUCACCUAGGCGACGAUCCCUAGCUGGUCUGAGAGGAUGACCAGCCACACUGGAACUGAGACACGGUCCAGACUCCUACGGGAGGCAGCAGUGGGGAAUAUUGCACAAUGGGCGCAAGCCUGAUGCAGCCAUGCCGCGUGUAUGAAGAAGGCCUUCGGGUUGUAAAGUACUUUCAGCGGGGAGGAAGGGAGUAAAGUUAAUACCUUUGCUCAUUGACGUUACCCGCAGAAGAAGCACCGGCUAACUCCGUGCCAGCAGCCGCGGUAAUACGGAGGGUGCAAGCGUUAAUCGGAAUUACUGGGCGUAAAGCGCACGCAGGCGGUUUGUUAAGUCAGAUGUGAAAUCCCCGGGCUCAACCUGGGAACUGCAUCUGAUACUGGCAAGCUUGAGUCUCGUAGAGGGGGGUAGAAUUCCAGGUGUAGCGGUGAAAUGCGUAGAGAUCUGGAGGAAUACCGGUGGCGAAGGCGGCCCCCUGGACGAAGACUGACGCUCAGGUGCGAAAGCGUGGGGAGCAAACAGGAUUAGAUACCCUGGUAGUCCACGCCGUAAACGAUGUCGACUUGGAGGUUGUGCCCUUGAGGCGUGGCUUCCGGAGCUAACGCGUUAAGUCGACCGCCUGGGGAGUACGGCCGCAAGGUUAAAACUCAAAUGAAUUGACGGGGGCCCGCACAAGCGGUGGAGCAUGUGGUUUAAUUCGAUGCAACGCGAAGAACCUUACCUGGUCUUGACAUCCACGGAAGUUUUCAGAGAUGAGAAUGUGCCUUCGGGAACCGUGAGACAGGUGCUGCAUGGCUGUCGUCAGCUCGUGUUGUGAAAUGUUGGGUUAAGUCCCGCAACGAGCGCAACCCUUAUCCUUUGUUGCCAGCGGUCCGGCCGGGAACUCAAAGGAGACUGCCAGUGAUAAACUGGAGGAAGGUGGGGAUGACGUCAAGUCAUCAUGGCCCUUACGACCAGGGCUACACACGUGCUACAAUGGCGCAUACAAAGAGAAGCGACCUCGCGAGAGCAAGCGGACCUCAUAAAGUGCGUCGUAGUCCGGAUUGGAGUCUGCAACUCGACUCCAUGAAGUCGGAAUCGCUAGUAAUCGUGGAUCAGAAUGCCACGGUGAAUACGUUCCCGGGCCUUGUACACACCGCCCGUCACACCAUGGGAGUGGGUUGCAAAAGAAGUAGGUAGCUUAACCUUCGGGAGGGCGCUUACCACUUUGUGAUUCAUGACUGGGGUGAAGUCGUAACAAGGUAACCGUAGGGGAACCUGCGGUUGGAUCACCUCCUUACCUUAAAGAAGC